UAUAAACCAGGGCCGGACUGGGGAUACGAAGCAGCCCUGGAAAAAAAUCUAUGCCAGCCCCAUAAGUCAUUGUGCUAUGUAGGGUGUUAUAUAUUAAAGGACCACUAUAGUGCCCUGAGGGUGCCCCCACCCUCAGGGUCCCCCUCCCGCCCAGCUCUGGAAGGGGGAAAGGGGUAAAAAAUUACCUUUUUCCAGCGCUGGGCGGGGAGCUCUCCUCCUCCGAUCCUCCUUCUCUCCUCCCCGUCGGCUGAAUGCGCACGCGCGGCAAGAGCUGCGCGCGCAUUCAGCCGGUCACAUAGGAAAGCAGUAUAAAUGCUUUCCUAUGGACGCUGGCAUGCUCUCACUGUAGCGCCUCUAGUGGCUGUCAAUGAGACAGCCACUAGAGGAAAUAGGGGAAGGCUUAACCCAUUC
This is a non-coding RNA of Pelobates cultripes (western spadefoot toad), 411 nucleotides long. The record is from the annotation of a GenBank genome assembly. Lineage: Eukaryota; Metazoa; Chordata; Amphibia; Anura; Pelobatidae.